Molecule: ribosomal RNA, 253 nt
Filed under: uncultured bacterium
Lineage: Bacteria
Description: partial 16S ribosomal RNA
Rfam family: Bacterial small subunit ribosomal RNA
Source: RNAcentral
UACGUAGGCAGCGAGCGUUGUUCGGAGUUACUGGGCGUAAAGGGUGUGUAGGCGGUUGUUUAAGUUUGGUGUGAAAUCUCCCGGCUCAACUGGGAGGGUGCGCCGAAUACUGAGCGACUAGAGUGCGGGAGAGGAAAGUGGAAUUCCCGGUGUAGUGGUGAAAUGCGUAGAUAUCGGGAGGAACACCAGUGGCGAAGGCGACUUCCUGGCCUGUUCUUGACGCUGAGGCGCGAAAGCUAGGGUAGCAAACAGG